Molecule: transfer RNA, 55 nt
Filed under: Mobula japanica (spinetail devil ray)
Lineage: Eukaryota; Metazoa; Chordata; Chondrichthyes; Myliobatiformes; Myliobatidae
Description: partial tRNA-Thr
Rfam family: tRNA
About the family: Transfer RNA (tRNA) molecules are approximately 80 nucleotides in length. Their secondary structure includes four short double-helical elements and three loops (D, anti-codon, and T loops). Further hydrogen bonds mediate the characteristic L-shaped molecular structure. tRNAs have two regions of fundamental functional importance: the anti-codon, which is responsible for specific mRNA codon recognition, and the 3' end, to which the tRNAs corresponding amino acid is attached (by aminoacyl-tRNA synthetases). tRNAs cope with the degeneracy of the genetic code in two manners: having more than one tRNA (with a specific anti-codon) for a particular amino acid; and 'wobble' base-pairing, i.e. permitting non-standard base-pairing at the 3rd anti-codon position.
Source: RNAcentral
GUUUUGGUGGCCAAGUACUUAAGGCAUCGGUCUUGUAAACCGAAAAUCGGAGGUG